Molecule: ribosomal RNA, 492 nt
Filed under: uncultured bacterium
Lineage: Bacteria
Description: partial 16S ribosomal RNA
Rfam family: Bacterial small subunit ribosomal RNA
Source: RNAcentral
AGUGAACGCUGGCGGCAUGCCUAACACAUGCAAGUCGAACGGAAGCACAGUAAGCUCUUGCUCUUACGGUUGGCGAGUGGCGGACGGGUGACGCAUACAUCAGAAUCUACUUUUUCGGGGGGGAUAACGUAGGGCAACUUAUGCUAAUACCGCAUACGACCAACGGGUGAAAGCAGGGGAUCUUCGGACCUUGCGCGACUGUAUGAGCCGAUGUCGGAUUAGCUAGUUGGCGGGGUAAAGGCCUACCAAGGCGACGAUACGUAGCUGGCCUGAGAGGAUGAUCGGCCACACUGGAACUGAGACACGGUCCAGACUCCUACGGGAGGCAGCAGUAGGGAAUCUUGCGCAAUGGGCGCAAGCCUGACGCAGCCAUGCCGCGUGGGUGAUGAAGGCCUUCGGGUCGUAAAGCCCUUUUAUUGGGAAAGAAAAGCAGCGGGUUUAUACCCGGCUGUUCUGACGGUACCCAAUGAGAAAGCACCGGCUAACUUCGUG